AAAAAUAUCGUAAAGUGGGGCAAAACUCACUUAACUGUCUUGCUUAUCAAUGGAAAUAUUGGGCUCAAUUGUGCUGCUGUUGAAUGGGGCCAGAAUUGCUGGAGGGAACAAAUGGAGCCAAGUUCCAGAGACUACUGGAUCAAAAGAAAACUGAACAAUCUUGAAACUGAAUGGGAAGUACAGGAGGUUAUAUGAAUUAAUACUGUAUACUAUGUUAACCAAAUUUGUGAGCAAACUUCCAAAUAAACUGCAGGUUUAUAUCUUUACUUUGUUAUAAUACGUGUGGAGUGUAUACAAAGUCUAGAGGCAUUCUUGUAAAGAAAUACACUUCUCACAGCAGGUAUCUAGUUUUGUGCUAUGCCAGUUUCCUGAAGAUUAUUACCGGACAUCUAUGAGAUCUGAAUGUGAACCACGUUGCCCUCUCUUCAUCUCAGUAUAGCUUUCUGUUUCUUUACUUUUUUCCACCCUAUAAUGCCAGUUUUGUUUGGAAGUCCUACAUAUUCUGUAAAUAGGAGAAAAAAAAUGUAUCAGUUUUGUUGUAUUAAAAUAGUAAGAAUGAUAAAAUAAAAAGUUGGGUUAGGGCUUAUGAGAAA
Pantherophis guttatus is the source of this 593-nucleotide non-coding RNA. NCBI's taxonomy places the organism in Eukaryota, Metazoa, Chordata, Lepidosauria, Squamata, Colubridae. The record is from RefSeq and is a predicted model, not a curated record.